This 478-nucleotide ribosomal RNA is filed under the name uncultured bacterium. Its description in RNAcentral is "partial 16S ribosomal RNA". It matches the Rfam family "Bacterial small subunit ribosomal RNA", at positions 28 to 523 of the family's 1533-position model. The record is from RNAcentral.
GACGAACGCUGGCGGCGUGCUUAACACAUGCAAGUCGAACGGUAAGGCCCUUCGGGGUACACGAGUGGCGAACGGGUAAGUAACACGUGGGUGAUCUACCCUGCACUUCGGGAUAAGCCUGGGAAACUGGGUCUAAUACCGGAUAGGACGCCGGACUGCACGGUCUGGGGUGGAAAGCUUUUGCGGUAUGGGAUGGGCCCGCGGCCUAUCAGCUUGUUGGUGGGGUGAUGGCCUACCAAGGCGACGACGGGUAGCCGGCCUGGGAGGGUGACCGGCCACACUGGGACUGAGAUACGGCCCAGACUCCUACGGGAGGCAGCAGUGGGGAAUAUUGCACAAUGGGCGCAAGCCUGAUGCAGCGACGCCGCGUGAGGGAUGACGGCCUUCGGGUUGUAAACCUCUUUCAGUAGGGACGAAGCGCAAGUGACGGUACCUACAGAAGAAGGACCGGCCAACUACGUGCCAGCAGCCGCUGUAA